Molecule: non-coding RNA, 1147 nt
Filed under: Caenorhabditis japonica
Lineage: Eukaryota; Metazoa; Nematoda; Chromadorea; Rhabditida; Rhabditidae
Description: Eukaryotic large subunit ribosomal RNA
Rfam family: Eukaryotic large subunit ribosomal RNA
Source: Rfam by way of RNAcentral
CACGUGGCGGUUGCGUUGAAGGCUAUGAGCGUAGGCUCGGCUGGAGCUUCCGUCAGUGCAGAUCGUAAUGGUAGUAGCAAAUAUUCAAGUUCGAUCCUUGAAGACUGAAGUGGAGAAGGGUUCCACGUGAACAGUAGUUGGAUGUGGGUCAGUCGAUCCUAAGGUACUGGCGAAAGCCUUGUAUCAUCGGUGGCGAAAAGCUUGCUUUUUGUCCCCGCCCGUCGAAAGGGAAUAGGGUUAAUAUUCCCUAACUGAGAUGCAAAGAUUGUGUUCUUCGGAGCACAAGCGCGGUAACGCGUUCGAACUUGGUAAGUCGCUCAGAGACCGAGCUAGAGUUUUCUUCUCUAGUUAAGGAACGGACUCCCUGGAAUUGGUUCAGCCAGAGAUGGGGACGUUGUUUCCGAAAAGCACCGCGGUUUCUGUGGUGUCUCGUGCUCUCUGAACGGCCCUUUAAACACCAAGGGAGGCUAUUAAUUUGCACUCAAUCGUACCGAUAUCCGCAUUAGGUCUCCAAGGUGAACAGCCUCUAGUCGAUAGAAUAAUGUAGGUAAGGGAAGUCGGCAAACUAGAUCCGUAACUUCGGGAAAAGGAUUGGCUCCAGUGGUCGGAACGGUUGGCCAGUUGGAUUGAUGCUUGUCCGGCGCUGUUCUGUCUGCUUGAUGCUUUUCGGGCUGAUGGCGGCCUAGUGAUAGUGCUUGCUUGUUGACGCUUUCUGGUGUGUGCUUUGACCUCGGUCUUAGUAUCCUGAUCGUUCAUCUAAACGACUAAACUGGAACCGGUACGGACUCAGGGAAUCCGACUGUCUAAUUAAAACAGAGGUGACAGAUGGUCCUUGCGGACGCUGACUGUCACUGAUUUCUGCCCAGUGCUCUGAAUGUUAAAUCGUAGUAAUUCGAGUAAGCGCGGGUAAACGGCGGGAGUAACUAUGACUCUCUUAAGGUAGCCAAAUGCCUCGUCAUUUAAUUGUUGACGCGCAUGAAUGGAUUAACGAGAUUCCUACUGUCCCUAACUACUAUCUAGCGAAACCACAGCCAAGGGAACGGGCUUGGCAAAAAUAGCGGGGAAAGAAGACCCUGUUGAGCUUGACUCUAGUUUGACAUUGUGAAGAGUCAUGAGAGGUGUAGCAUAGGUGGGAGUCUUCGGACGC